RNAcentral lists this ribosomal RNA (253 nucleotides) under uncultured bacterium. Its description in RNAcentral is "partial 16S ribosomal RNA". It matches the Rfam family "Bacterial small subunit ribosomal RNA", at positions 524 to 776 of the family's 1533-position model. The record is from RNAcentral.
UACGUAGGGUGCGAGCGUUGUCCGGAAUUAUUGGGCGUAAAGAGCUUGUAGGCGGUUUGUCGCGUCUGCCGUGAAAAUCCGGGGCUCAACCCCGGACUUGCGGUGGGUACGGGCAGACUAGAGUGUGGUAGGGGAGACUGGAAUUCCUGGUGUAGCGGUGAAAUGCGCAGAUAUCAGGAGGAACACCGAUGGCGAAGGCAGCGCCCUGGACGAGACCUGACGCUCAGGCACGAAAGCUGGGGGAGCAAACAGG